GAUGAACGCUAGCGGGAGGCCUAACACAUGCAAGCCGAGCGGGAUUUGUUGGUUAGCUUGCUAACUAACAAUGAGAGCGGCGUACGGGUGCGUAGCACGUGUGCAACCUGCCUUUAUCUGGGGGAUAGCCUUUCGAAAGGAAGAUUAAUACCCCAUAACAUAUUGAUUGGCAUCAGUUAAUAUUGAAAGCUCCGGCGGAUAGAGAUGGGCACGCGUAAGAUUAGCUAGUUGGUGAGGUAACGGCUCACCAAGGCUGCGAUCUUUAGGGGGCCUGAGAGGGUGAUCCCCCACACUGGUACUGAGACACGGACCAGACUCCUACGGGAGGCAGCAGUGAGGAAUAUUGGACAAUGGGUGAGAGUCUGAUCCAGCCAUCCCGCGUGAAGGACUAAGGACCUAUGGUUUGUAAACUUCUUUUAUACAGGGAUAAACCUACUCUCGUGAGGGUAGCUGAAGGUACUGUAUGAAUAAGCACCGGCUAACUCCGUG
RNAcentral lists this ribosomal RNA (489 nucleotides) under uncultured bacterium. Its description in RNAcentral is "partial 16S ribosomal RNA". It matches the Rfam family "Bacterial small subunit ribosomal RNA", at positions 28 to 507 of the family's 1533-position model. The record is from RNAcentral.